GACGAACGCUGGCGGCGUGCCUAAUACAUGCAAGUCGAGCGAUGAAGCAUGGUGCUUGCGCCCAUUUGAAGGGCAGCGAACGGGUGAGUAACGCGUGGGGCAUCUGCCUUUGAUCGGGGGACGACAUCUGGAGACGACUGCUAAUACUGCAUCACACCUUUAAACAUAAGUUUUAAGGUUGAAAGAUGCCAUUGCAUCACUCAUAGAUGAUUCUGCGUUGUAUUAGCUAGUUGGUGAGGGAAAGGCUCACCAAGGCGAUGAUACAUAGUCGACCUGAAUGGGUGGUCGGGCACAUUGGGACUGGGACCACGCCCAAGCUCCUUAGGGGAGGAGCAGGAGGGAAUUAUCGGACAUGGAGGGAAGGCUGGACCAGGACCGCCGCGGGGGUGAAGAAGGGCUUCGGGUCGUAAAACUCUGUUGGUAGAGAAGAAAGUUGGUGAGGGUGGAACGCCGAUGUAGUGACGGUAACCAAAGAAUAAGCGACGGCUAACUACGUG
RNAcentral lists this ribosomal RNA (497 nucleotides) under uncultured bacterium. RNAcentral describes it as "partial 16S ribosomal RNA". It matches the Rfam family "Bacterial small subunit ribosomal RNA", at positions 28 to 507 of the family's 1533-position model. The record is from RNAcentral.